AAUUAGCUUCAAUUGGUCAGCUCUCAGUUCGGUGUGGCCCAGAGCCCUCUCUCUCGCUUUCGCGCUCGCUGGUUCACAGGUUGGAUUUCUCUUUCUCUCGGUUUCUCAAACUCUCUUCUGUCUCGCUUUCUCAAUCUGGAAGAGCUACCUCUUUCUGUCGGUUCCUCAAUAUCUCUCUUCUAUCGGUUUCCCAAUCCAUCUCGCUCUCUCAAUGUAGAUGACCUAAAGGUUUAUAUUUGUAUGUAAUUUUUUUCUCUACAGAAAAUUGGCAUUGAAACUCAGAGCAAUUACAGAGGUCAUCUACCCAACAACUCAAUCCUUUCGCUAAUCAGCAUUUGCUAUGGAUUAUGACUGUGAUUACGGCACGGAUGGUGUUUCUAUUGAUAAGUUGCAGUUAAAUUGGCUCAAUGUUCAACUUGAAAAAUGUGGCGUAGGCAAAUGAGGUAAUUUUUUGUUUUUUUCAUCACCAACUGUAAUGUUGUUUUUAUUUGCUCGAUUUGAUAUGGUGACAAUCAAAGCAUUUUUUUAUGUGUGUUAUUUCUCUUUAGAUUUUUUUGACACAUGGUGAUGCCAAGGGAAUCACAAUGGAGUUGGAGAUGGAGUGGGAUGGAAACCCUAAUAUUGUACUUGAUAUUAAAACCUGAGUUGGUGUUGGAUUACUUAUAUAUACAUGUGCUCUUCAAUUUAUUCCCCAUUUCAAAUAGUAAUCUUGCUUUUGCCUAAUUAGACUAGCAUGAAAUUAGUGUCAGAAAUCAUAUUGACUUUUCUUAUAAUUUUCCUCAUCCAAUUUUCCCACAACAUAUGACAAUCUCUCUCUGAAGGAUUUAUGAGUGCCUGGAAAAUCGGUUAUCAUGAAACAAAGUAAAGCAUGUUGAGUUAUUGGAAUUUUACUAUUAGAUCAUUAGAUGUCAUAUUAAUAUUUUGCUUCUCUAUGUUCAUCUAGGUCAAAAACAUUGCAUUCAGUGGGCUUUUCAGAUUAAUCUUCAAAUAGCUUGUUGACGAAUUUCCUUGUUUUGGGGGCAGUUUGUUUAUCUUUGUGAGCAAAGGUGAAAUGUCGAAUUCAGCGUUCUUGAAAAUUGCCGAGCAAGAUCUGCAUCAGUUUGGGCUUCUCCACCAAGCUUUGUGCCACAUUGAGCAUCUCCAGCAAGCUGUUCAUCACCUCUUGCCACCUGUGUUGAUGUUGUUCCACAAGUUCUGCUAUUUAAAGAAGUGUAAACUGUUGCCUUGCUGCAAUUUACUCUGCAUUUGGUCCAAGAAACAAAAGAGGCACGACAUUUCCUCAACUUCCAUAUCCCAGUUGCUGUGGCUUCCAUUUCUUACUUCCGUUGUCCUAUGUUUGCUUCGUUUAAAAUUUGGUUUUAGAUAUCUGGUUACAAGCUUUGUUAGUGCAGACGUUUAAUUGAAUUUGUUUUUGUUCAAAUUAAAUGUUCAUGCAUUUGUGCUUUGGUUUGCAGUCUUUUUUUUACAAUUGUUAAAUUUUUUGCC
Camellia sinensis is the source of this 1485-nucleotide non-coding RNA. NCBI's taxonomy places the organism in Eukaryota, Viridiplantae, Streptophyta, Magnoliopsida, Ericales, Theaceae. The record is from RefSeq and is a predicted model, not a curated record.